RNAcentral lists this ribosomal RNA (471 nucleotides) under Serratia symbiotica. RNAcentral's name for it is "bacterial SSU rRNA". It matches the Rfam family "Bacterial small subunit ribosomal RNA", at positions 9 to 477 of the family's 1533-position model. The record is from RNAcentral. Lineage: Bacteria; Pseudomonadati; Pseudomonadota; Gammaproteobacteria; Enterobacterales; Yersiniaceae.
GAGUUUGAUCAUGGCUCAGAUUGAACGCUGGCGGCAGGCCUAACACAUGCAAGUCGAGCGGUAGCACAAGAGAGCUUGCUCUCUGGGUGACGAGCGGCGGACGGGUGAGUAAUGUCUGGGAAACUGCCUGAUGGCGGGGGAUAACUAGUGGAAACGGUAGCUAAUACCGCAUAACGUCGCAAGACCAAAGUGGGGGCCCUUCGGGCCUCACGCCAUCAGAUGUGCCCAGGUGGGAUUAGCUGGUAGGUGAGGUAACGGCUCACCUAGGCGACGAUCCCUAGCUGGUCUGAGAGGAUGACCAGCCACACUGGAACUGAGACACGGUCCAGACUCCUACGGGAGGCAGCAGUGGGGAAUAUUGCACAAUGGGCGCAAGCCUGAUGCAGCCAUGCCGCGUGUGUGAAGAAGGCCUUCGGGUUGUAAAGCACUUUCAGCGAGGAGGAAGGGUAAUGUGUUAAUAAGACAUUGCAA